RNAcentral lists this ribosomal RNA (441 nucleotides) under uncultured bacterium. RNAcentral describes it as "partial 16S ribosomal RNA". It matches the Rfam family "Bacterial small subunit ribosomal RNA", at positions 338 to 795 of the family's 1533-position model. The record is from RNAcentral.
CCUACGGGAGGCAGCAGUGGGGGAUAUUGCACAAUGGGGGGAACCCUGAUGCAGCGACGCCGCGUGGGUGAAGAAGUGCUUCGGCAUGUAAAGCUCUAUCGGCAGGGAAGAAGCAAGACGGUACCUGACUAAGAAGCCCCGGCUAACUACGUGCCAGCAGCCGCGGUAAUACGGAGGGGGCGAGCGUUAUCCGGAUGAACUGGGUGUAAAGGGAGCGUAUUCGGGUAAGCAAGCCAGGGGUGAAAGCUCGCGGCCCAACCCCGGGACUGCCCUUGGGACUGGCAGGCUGGAGUGCGGGAGGGGCAGGCGGAAGUCGUGGUGUAGCGGUGAAAUGCGUAGAUAUCAGGAGGAACACCGGCGGCGAAGGCGGCCUGCUGGACCGCGACUGACGUUGAGGCUCGAAAGCGUGGGGAGCGAACAGGAUUAGAUACCCGUGUAGUC